AGUGCACACGGUGGAUGCCUUGGCGACAACAGGCGAAGAAGGACGUGGAAAUCUGCGAAAAGCCCCGGGAAGCUGAUAACAAGCAAUGAUCCGGGGAUCUCCGAAUGGGGCAACCCGACCUUAGGGUCAUCCGUAGUUGAAUACAUAGACUGCGGAAGCGAACCGGGAGAACUGAAACAUCUAAGUACCCCGAGGAAAAGAAAUCAACCGAGAUUCCGCAAGUAGCGGCGAGCGAACGCGGAGAAGCCCAAUUAAGUUGCGUAUGAGCUAGUAGAACAUUCUGGGAAGGAUGGCCACAGAGGGUGAUAGCCCCGUAUACGAAAGCCAUACACAAUGAAUCGAGUAGGGCGGGACACGUGAAAUCCUGUCUGAACAUGGGGGGACCAUCCUCCAAGGCUAAAUACUCGUUGUCGACCGAUAGUGAACCAGUACCGUGAGGGAAAGGCGAAAAGAACCCUGGUGAAGGGAGUGAAAUAGAACCUGAAACCGUGUGCAUACAAGCAGUCAGAGCAUAUAAAGAUAUGUGAUGGCGUACCUUUUGUAUAAUGGGUCAGCGAGUUACAUUCAGUGGCGAGGUUAACCGGAUAGGGGAGCCGUAGCGAAAGCGAGUCUUAAUAGGGCGGUAAGUCUCUGGGUGUAGACCCGAAACCGGGCGAUCUAUCCAUGGGCAGGUUGAAGGUUGAGUAACAUCAACUGGAGGACCGAACCCACGCAUGUUGAAAAAUGCGGGGAUGACCUGUGGAUAGGAGUGAAAGGCUAAACAAGCUCGGAGAUAGCUGGUUCUCCCCGAAAACUAUUGAGGUAGUGCCUUGUAGAUUGACUUACGGGGGUAGAGCACUGUUUCGGCUAGGGGGUCAUACCGACUUACCAACCCGAUGCAAACUCCGAAUACCGCAAAGUUUUACUACAGGAGACACACGGCGGGUGCUAACGUCCGUCGUGAAGAGGGAAACAACCCAGACCGCCAGCUAAGGUCCCGAAAUGACAGUUCAGUGGGAAACGAAGUGGGAAGGCUUAGACAGCUAGGAGGUUGGCUUAGAAGCAGCCAUCCUUUAAAGAAAGCGUAAUAGCUCACUAGUCGAGUCGUCCUGCGCGGAAGAUUUACCGGGGCUAAACUGUCUACCGAAGCUGCGGAUUUGCAUGAAAAUGCAAGUGGUAGGGGAGCGUUGUGUAAGCUGAUGAAGGUGUGUUGAGAAGCAUGCUGGAGGUAUCACAAGUGCGAAUGCUGACAUGAGUAACGAUAAUGCGGGUGAAAAACCCGCACACCGAAAACCCAAGGUUUCCUGCGCAACGCUAAUCGGCGCAGGGUGAGUCGGCCCCUAAGGCGAGGCGGAAACGCGUAGUCGAUGGGAAACAGGUUAAUAUUCCUGUACUGAUCAUAAUUGCGAUGGGGGGACGGAGAAAGCUAGGCCAGCACACUGUUGGAUGUGUGUUUAAACGCGUAGGUUGGGGACUUAGGCAAAUCCGGGUUUCUAAGACUGAAACGUGAUGACGAGUUUCUACGGAAACGAAGUGGUUGAUGCUCUGCUUCCAGGAAAAGCCUCUAAGCUUCAGAUUAUGACAACCGUACCCCAAACCGACACAGGUGGGUAGGAAGAGAAUUCCAAGGUGCUUGAGAGAACUCGGGUAAAGGAACUCGGCAAAAUGAUACCGUAACUUCGGGAUAAGGUAUGCCUCUGACGGUGUAUAGCUGUUGGGGGCCGCAGAGAAUAGGCCGCUGCGACUGUUUAUCAAAAACACAGCACUCUGCAAACACGAAAGUGGACGUAUAGGGUGUGACGCCUGCCCGGUGCCGGAAGGUUAAGUGAUGGGGUGCAAGCUCUUGAUCGAAGCCCCGGUAAACGGCGGCCGUAACUAUAACGGUCCUAAGGUAGCGAAAUUCCUUGUCGGGUAAGUUCCGACCUGCACGAAUGGCGUAACGAUGGCGGCGCUGUCUCUACCCGAGACUCAGUGAAGUUGAAAUCGCUGUGAAGAUGCAGUGUACCCGCGGCAAGACGGAAAGACCCCGUGAACCUUCACUACAGCUUGACACUGAACAUUGAAAUGAGUUGCAUAGGAUAGGUGGGAGGCUUAGAAGCAGAGACUCUGGUUUCUGUGGAGCCGACCUUGAAAUACCACCCUGCUUAUUUUGAUGUUCUAACGUAGACCCGUAAUCCGGGUUGCAGACAGUGUCUGGUGGGUAGUUUGACUGGGGCGGUCUCCUCCCAAAGAGUAACGGAGGAGUGCGAAGGUGGGCUCGGUGCGGUCGGAAAUCGCACCAAGAGUG
RNAcentral lists this ribosomal RNA (2266 nucleotides) under human metagenome. RNAcentral describes it as "bacterial LSU rRNA". It matches the Rfam family "Bacterial large subunit ribosomal RNA", at positions 14 to 2351 of the family's 2925-position model. The record is from RNAcentral.